GUGAAUCAUCAAAUUUUUGAACGCAAAUUGCGCUUCCUGGCAUCCCGGGAAGUAUGCCUGUUUGAGGAUCAGUAUUAAUAAAAAAUCGAUUUAGUUACAAAUUGUGACGUUUCCUGAGUUUGUGCUAUCUUAACCUUUUUCGUUAAGAUGCUUAAAAUUCACCUUUUUGCGUAUUUUUAUACGUUCAUAUAUUUUUUUUAUUCCUCUCUUCUUAAUGCCAAAAUCUUAUUAGAUGCGAUCACAUCAUGUGGCUUCGUCUCCUUAAAAUUUUCAU
This 274-nucleotide unclassified non-coding RNA is filed under the name Glomeraceae sp. RNAcentral describes it as "partial contains 5.8S ribosomal RNA and internal transcribed spacer 2". The stretch from base 1 to 71 matches the Rfam family "5.8S ribosomal RNA", at positions 84 to 154 of the family's 154-position model. Lineage: Eukaryota; Fungi; Glomeromycota; Glomeromycetes; Glomerales; Glomeraceae. The record is from RNAcentral.